AUGCAGAUUUUACUUAGAUUAAGUCAUAGAGGAGGUGUUCACUUAAACAAUGGAGAUGGUGCCGGUAUUUUAAUUGGUAUGCCACAUGAGUUUUUUCAAAUGUUAAGUGAUACAUGUCAAUUACCUUUUAUAUUACCAGAAAAAGGAGAAUAUGCUGUAGCUCAAAUUUUUUUACCUCAAAAUGAGAAAAGAAGAUUAUUUUUAUAUCGUGAAAUAGAGAAAGAAGUGUAUAACCAUGGUUUGGUAGUUUUAGGUUGGAGAUCACCAAUACCAGUUAGAAGUGAUGUUAUAAGUGAUACAGUUAAAAAGAGUGAACCAUUUAUAGCACAACUUUUUGUAUGUAAACGAUCUGUUUUUAAAAACUAUGACGAUUUUAAUAUUUAUCCAUUUUCAGACAUAGAUUUUACAGAUGAUAGUAAAUUAAAUUUAAAUCAGUUACCCGAAGAUAUCGAAUUAUUAUCUUUUUUUAUAAGAAAAAAAAUGGUUAAACAUAACGAUGCAUAUUUUUGUAGUUUUUCAUCAAGGACUAUAGUAUAUAAAGGGUUAUUUACACCUUCUCAAAUAUAUUUAUAUUUUGAAGAUUUACUGAGUGAACAAUUUACAACCUACUUAGCAAUGGUACAUGUACGCUUUUCAACAAAUACAUCACCAACAUGGUAUGCAGCACAUCCUUUUCGUAGGAUUUGUCAUAAUGGGGAAAUAAAUACAAUAAGUGUCAACUCUUUAUUAUUUAAAGAAAGAAUGUCGUUAGCUAAAACACCUGAUUUUUUUAAAAGUGUUCAAAUAAAAGAUCUGAAACCUAUUAAUGAAGAAAAUUAUAUCAUUUAUGACAAUGAUGAUGAAAUAAUACAAAAAAAAGAUACAUUUGAAGAUAUUAUGUUAACAAAAAAUCGAUUAAAAAAAAAAGCUAGACGAAAUAUAUUACUAAAAUUGAAAAAAGAUUAUACUUAUAACAGUUCAGCAGUACAUUAUAAAUUAAAAAAAGAUUACAUAACUUCAGAUAUAAAUAGUAAUUCCGAAUUUUUAAGCAAUACAAAUGAUUUGGAUAAAACAACAUCAUCUGAUGAUUUAACAUUAGAUACUGUAAUUAGUGAUAACAAUGAAAAAGAAAAUUUGGAAAUGCAAAGUUUACAUAUGGUUAAUGGUACUAUGGAUAGUCCAAAUAAAAAUGAUAUAAAAUUGAUAAAAAAACAUUUAAAACAUGGAGAAAAUAAAAAAACAAAAGGUGCUAUUAGUUAUCCAUCUGAUUCAGCUCUUUUAGACAAUGCGGUUGAUUUUUUAACAAUGACUGGAAAAGAUAUAGAACAUGCAAUAAUGAUGUUAUUACCUAGAGCGUAUCAAAAAGAUCCAAAUAUAUCACCAAAAGAAAGAGCAUUUUAUGAAUACCAUACUUGUAUGAUGGAACCUUGGGAUGGACCAGCAUUAAUUAUAUUUACAGAUGGUAAUAAAGUAGGUAUGACAUUAGAUCGUAAUGGAUUAAGACCAGCUAGAUAUAGUAUAACUACAGAUGGAUUAUUUGUAUUGGCAAGUGAAACAGGUGUAGUAGAUUUAUCCUAUGAUAAGAUAACACAUAAAGGUUCUGUUUAUCCAGGUCGUGUAGUUUUAAUCGAUUUUAAAGAAAAAAGAGUUAUGAAACAUGAUGAAGUAAUGAGUAAAAUGUUAAAAGCAUAUCCAUAUAAAAAAUGGUUAGAUCAUUAUUCUAUUCAUUUGGAUAAUAUAAUUAAACCAGCUCCUAAUAUGGAAAAUAUACGUAUGAAUGCUUAUACAUAUGGUUCAAUAUUAAAUGAAGAAAAAUAUUAUAAUACAGAUAGUAAAGAAAUGGAAUUAGAUUACUAUGAUGAAUCUUUAAUAAAAAAAUUAAAAGUGUUUGGAUAUACGUAUGAUAAUUUUAAUAUGAUCAUAUCUCCAAUGGUAAAACAUGCAGCAGAUGGUUUAGGUGCAAUGGGUAAUGAUACAGCAUGUCCAUGUUUAAGUUAUUUACAUCAUAAUUUAUUAUAUUAUUUUCAACAAUCUUUUGCUCAAGUAACAAAUCCACCAAUUGAUCCAAUUCGAGAAGAAAACAUAAUGUCUUUGAUAAGUAAUUUAGGAAAAGAAGGAGAUUUAGUACAUUAUACACAUGAAAAUUGUCAACGUAUUUUUAUCAAUGGACCUAUAUUAAAUGAAGAAAAUUAUAAUAUGUUGUUACAAUUACCUGCAUUUCCACAUAUUAUUGUUGAUAUGACAAUAGAUAUAUUUAUACUAGAACAAAUAAUGUCAGGUAAUAUCGAAUUUGAGAACAUUAAUUAUGAUCCAAUAAAAAAUAUUUCUUCCACACCAAAACAUGGAUAUAAUUUACUUUUACAAAAAAAUGUAACAUCCAAAUUAGAGGAACAUUGUGGAACUGGUAUAAACACAAAUACAGGGACUACUCCAAAAAAAAUGAUAAAUUCUAAAUAUUUAAUAAAAUUAAUUGAUACUAUUAAUACAAAAGUUGAAUUGGCAAUUCGAAAAGGAAUACAAUUGGUUGUUUUAUCACAUGGUAAUAUUAGUGAUAAUAAAGUACCAAUUUUUUCAAUAAUAAUAGUUGGAGCAUUACAUAAAUAUUUAUUAAGUAAAAAUUUAAGAACAAAAUGUUCUAUUAUUGUAAAAGCUGGAGAUUGCUUUGAAAUUCAUCAUUUAGCAGUUUUGUUAUCAUAUGGUGCAGAUUGUAUUUAUCCUUUUGUUUUGUAUGAAAGUUUACAAUUUAUAAAAUAUAGUGAUAAUGAAGCUAGAUUAAGUAACAAUCAGAUGAUAAGUAAUUAUAGACAUGCAGCAAAUUAUGGUAUUUUAAAAAUUAUGUCAAAAAAUGGUAUUUCUACAUUACCUAGUUAUAAAGGUUGUGGAUUAAUGCAACCAUUAGGUAUAUCAGAUGAAAUAUUAUCAAAAUGUUUUGUAAAUGUAUGUGAUUCUAUUAUAGGAGGUGUCACUUUUGAAUAUGUUGAAAAAGAAAUUUUACACAUAUUUUUUAAUGCAUAUCCAAAAAGGAUAUUAGAAUUAAAUAUGAGUAAUAUAAUGGAAGAAUUAGAAGAUCGUGGAGAAUACCAUUUUCGUAGUAUUGGGAAUACACAUAUUCAUAUGAACCAUCCAGAAACGAUCAGUUUGUUACAAAAAGCUACGAGAAGUGGUAAUAUGGAUACUUAUAAAAAAUAUGCUGAUUUACAAAAUGAAUUAACAAAUCAUUGUGAAAUAAGAGGACAAUUAGAAAUUAAUUAUAAAAAAUGUCCA
Long non-coding RNA from Piliocolobus tephrosceles (Ugandan red Colobus), 3243 nucleotides. Lineage: Eukaryota; Metazoa; Chordata; Mammalia; Primates; Cercopithecidae. The record is from Ensembl.